GUCUAUGGCUGGACCACCCUAAAUGUGCCUGAUCUCAGAAGCUAAGCAGGGUUGGCCUGGUCAAUUCUUGGAUGGGAGACUGCCCAGGAGACCUGGUGCUAUCAACU
Ribosomal RNA from Cebus imitator (Panamanian white-faced capuchin), 107 nucleotides. NCBI's taxonomy places the organism in Eukaryota, Metazoa, Chordata, Mammalia, Primates, Cebidae. The record is from Ensembl.